Molecule: long non-coding RNA, 2595 nt
Organism: Cottoperca gobio
Lineage: Eukaryota; Metazoa; Chordata; Actinopteri; Perciformes; Bovichtidae
Exons: 5
Source: RefSeq, a predicted model, not a curated record
AGCUAUUACUCUGUUUCCAGUCUUUAUGCUAAGCUAAGCUAACCUUCUCCUGGCUCCAGCUACUUAUUUACCGUACGGAUAUGAGAGUCAAUCUUCUUGUAUCUUGCAAAGAAAGCAGAUUUCCCAAAAUGUCAAACUAUUCCUUUAAGGUCACAUGUGAUGUGUGCUGCAAUGUGCUACACUAUGAUAUUUAUUUGUUGGAAUUAUCUCUGCUAGGCGUAAGCCUGUGUGUGCUUGUGUGUAUCUGUCUGUCCGUCUGCAGCUAAUCUUGCAUACUUCUGAACCCAUCAGCAUAAUAUUUUCUGUGCACAUUUACGACAGUAAGCUCAAGGACCUCUCGUGGUUUUGGUGAUUCACAAUAUUUGAAACGUUUUAUUGACGGUUUUCAGCCGUUAUUGACUGCUGACUCCUCACUCCUCUUAAGUGGUCGGUUGGGGCUGCAAGUGAUCAACAACUGCUUCCGUAGCAAAAUGGAUUCCAGAUGAAUAAAUCCCCGGGACACUUGAGUGAGAUUCACCUCGUCUUUGUUUGGGAGCGGAGAGGGAGACACACCUGGCGGAGAUCUGGGGAGAAUGUCCAGUUUAGGAGGAUUUAGGUCUCAGAGCAACUCUGAGCAAGGAAGGGACAGAAAGAGUUUUUGAAAAGAGGACACUGAGCAUGAUGAAUAAUGCAAGGGGCCUCCUCGAUCGUCGCUACCAACAUGCCACGGCAUGUUUUAUUCACACUAAAGUCAGACAGAUCUCCACCCUCGCCGCUGCCCGGAUCCGUGAGCCGGCCGUCGGCCUUAAAGACAUCAGCAUCAGCUCAGUGUGUCUGCUCGCUCAGUCUCCUUGACCCUCACGUCCCUGCAGAGGAGAGCCCGUUUUUAAUGGAAGUACAGAGCUGGAGGUUCUCUAACUGCGACUUCCCUGUGGCUCGAAGACAAAGAACACCACACAAUGUUUACCUGUAACAAAUGUUUACUCAGACCUCAGUCCUCAAGACGGUGUUGCCACAUCAGAGUUUUUCACCCUUAUCUGGCAGCCCGAUCACCUGCGCUCAUUACUUAUGGCACGGUCCGAGAGGCGGCUUUGGUCACGCGUUACCGACCCUCCAUGGCCACGUCAGCGAGGGAUGACAGCCCCUACGGGACUCUUGUCUACGUGCCUUUCUGAAGUACUUGAUUUAUUAUUCAUCGGUGUUCCCGAUGGGGCUGCACAGUCAUUAGCAGGAAGGUCCCAGGUUCAAUUCCUUUGCUUUCUGUGCAGGUUUUGAUCCCAUUUUGUCCCACAGUCCAAAGGCAUUCAGCUCAGACGGACUGGAGACUGUUUUCAACCAUAUCAACCUCCUCAAGGGCUGGAAAAAGAUCAAACGGAGACGUUAUGGUACAAAGCCGACGCCAAACUUAACUUUCACCAACAAUAACAUCUUGCAUCAUCCCGUCUCUCUUUAGUAUGCAUCCCCCAAAAAACGAUCCCUCACCUCUGCGUGGUGAAACGUCCAGUGUCCAGAUGGUCCGUCAUGGCAGCCUCUUCAUCCUUGGAAGGAUCGUUAAGUGCUAAGAUUGGCUGUUACCAAGCACAAAUACUCUUAUAGAAUACAAGCAGGUUUACCCGAAAUCCAUGUAACAUUAUGACAUUUUUGAUUUUCCGAUUGCAUCUCACUGAUACACCUCAGUGAUGUUAAUGGCAUGUUUUCACUAAUGUUUCCUUGUUUGCUCUUGAUAACAGAACAUAUUCAAACAUGCUCUGUUUACAUGCAGUAAAUGGGUCAAAGGCAAGUCAAUGUUUUGGACUGUUUUAACUCUUUAGAUCCCUUCACCCUCUUUAUGAUACGUUUAGGACUAGGCCACACAUACACGUGUUCCAGUACGUCUUAAAACAUAACUUUUUCUAGCUUAUGUUUUAGCGGCGUCCUCUCCUUUGUCGCCACAAAUGAGGCGACUAUUCGUGCACUGGCUUACGUGACAAUCUCUUAACCAUAAAACAUGAUCUUAAAAGCCUCAUCUCUUCUAAAGUUCAAAUAAAACAUAGUCAACUGUUUGAAACACAGACAAUAAGCAGUUAUGAAAGAUCACUGUAAGCAGCAUCAUUUGGAGAGUGGCGUAGCAGCAGUAGAGACUAUAGAUGUGUUUCCAUCAAUCUUAAGCGCAUUUUCUAUUUCUUUUAUGCCAAUUUUCUCAAAAUGAUAACCCAAAUGACACACUUAGCUCUUAGUAAUUAGAUAAAGAAGGCAUUUUGUCUUAGAAAAAUAUAUUUGAACAUAUUUUCAUAAAAGAUGACAGUCUCAAAAGUACCAAUAUUCAUCUAUCCUCUACGCUAACUUUACAUUAUCACAACACCUCUUGGUAUAAACAUAAUGCUGCCUGGAUUAUGUUAUUAUGUGUUUUUUGAGUAUGUAUGAAGAUGAGUUGUAAAGGGAGCUGGUGCCCCUAAUGAACACCACACACCAUAUGACAACCAUAUUUAAAGACCCUUAAAGCACUCAAUCAUGUCUAACAUGCCUUAUUUUAUGGAUUAUGGAUGCUGAAAUGCCCUUUACACCCAACAAGGAGCCUCCUGGGACUCUCAGAAUCUGCUCCUGUCAGAGUUUAGUAAAUAAAAGCCUGAAAACAGA